This 208-nucleotide ribosomal RNA is filed under the name uncultured Latescibacterota bacterium. Its description in RNAcentral is "uncultured Latescibacteria bacterium partial 16S ribosomal RNA". It matches the Rfam family "Bacterial small subunit ribosomal RNA", at positions 1174 to 1382 of the family's 1533-position model. The record is from RNAcentral. Lineage: Bacteria; Pseudomonadati; Candidatus Latescibacterota.
GGGGAGUGACGUCAAGCCUCAUGGCCUUACAUCCCGGGCUACACACGUAGCUACAAUGGCAGGUACAGAGGGCUGCGAAGCCGCGAGGUGGAGCGAAUCCCAGAAAACCUGUCUCAGUCCGGAUUGAAGUCUGCAACUCGACUUCAUGAAGGCGGAAUCGCUAGUAACCGCGAAUCAGCAGGUCGCGGUGAAUACGUUCCCGGGCCUU